This 223-nucleotide ribosomal RNA is filed under the name Clostridioides difficile. RNAcentral describes it as "partial 23S ribosomal RNA". It matches the Rfam family "Bacterial large subunit ribosomal RNA", at positions 2230 to 2451 of the family's 2925-position model. Lineage: Bacteria; Bacillati; Bacillota; Clostridia; Peptostreptococcales; Peptostreptococcaceae. The record is from RNAcentral.
AGGCCAUGAAUCUGGUCUUGGGACACUGUCAGGUGGGCAGUUUGACUGGGGCGGUCGCCUCCCAAAAGGGAACGGAGGCGCUCAAAGGUUCUCUCAGUACGGUCGGAAAUCGUACGUAGAGGGUAAAGGCAAAAGAGAGCUUGAUUGCAAGACAUACAGGUCGAGCAAGGAUGAAAAUCGGACUUAGUGAUCCGGUGGUUCUGCGUGGAAGGGCCAUCGCUCA